Oceanicaulis sp. is the source of this 1758-nucleotide non-coding RNA. NCBI's taxonomy places the organism in Bacteria, Pseudomonadati, Pseudomonadota, Alphaproteobacteria, Maricaulales, Maricaulaceae. The record is from Rfam.
GAUCAAGCGCAAUAAGGGCGUUUGGUGGAUGCCUUGGCGGUAAGAGGCGAUGAAGGACGUGGCACGCUGCGUUAAGUCCCGGGGAGUUGCGAGCAAACUUUGAUCCGGGAAUAUCCGAAUGGGGAAACCCACCUUUACAGACCCUGGCGGUCGCUCGUCCGAGUAAUCGGACGAUCGGUCACCAGAGUUUGUGAGAGGUAUCUAAACCUGAAUACAUAGGGUUUUAGAAGCGAACCCGGGGAACUGAAACAUCUCAGUACCUGGAGGAAAGGACAUCAAUUGAGACUCCCUCAGUAGCGGCGAGCGAACGGGGACCAGGCCAACGUCUCUCUCUGCAUCAGCGGAACAGUCUGGAAAGGCUGGCCAUAGUGGGUGAUAGCCCCGUACGUUAAAAUAAAGAGAGAGAAUUCGAGUAGGGCGGGACACGUGAAAUCCUGUCUGAACAUGGGGGGACCACCCUCCAAGCCUAAGUACUCCUUACCGACCGAUAGCGAACCAGUACCGUGAGGGAAAGGUGAAAAGCACCCCAAUGAGGGGAGUGAAACAGACCCUGAAACCGGACGCCUACAAGCAGUUGGAGCCCCCUUGCGGGGUGACAGCGUACCUUUUGUAUAAUGGGUCAGCGACUUAGUCUCUCGAGCAAGCUUAAGCCGAUAGGUGUAGGCGUAGCGAAAGCGAGUCUGAAUAGGGCGAUUUAGUUCGAGGGAUUAGACCCGAAACCGAGUGAUCUAGCCAUGUGCAGGCUGAAGGUGAGGUAACACUCACUGGAGGGCCGAACCCACGUCUGUUGAAAAAGACGGGGAUGACGUGUGGCUAGGGGUGAAAGGCCAAUCAAACUCGGAAAUAGCUGGUUCUCCGCGAAAUCUAUUUAGGUAGAGCGUCGUGUAUUACCCUCGGGGGUAGAGCACUGGAUGGGCUAGGGGGCCUCACCGGCUUACCAAACCUAACCAAACUCCGAAUACCGGGGAGUACAGCACGGCAGACACACUACGGGUGCUAAGGUCCGUAGUGGAGAGGGAAACAGCCCUGACCGCCAGCUAAGGUCCCAAAGUCAUGGCUAAGUGGGAAACGAUGUGGGAAUGCUUAGACAACCAGGAGGUUGGCUUAGAAGCAGCCAUCCUUUAAAGAAAGCGUAACAGCUCACUGGUCAAGCGUUCCUGCGCGGAAAAUGUAACGGGGCUUAAGCCAUGCACCGAAGCUGCGGACUCGAAAGAGUGGUAGCGGAGCGUUCUGUAGGCCUGUGAAGGGUUGCCGCAAGGUUGCCUGGAGGUAUCAGAAGUGAGAAUGCUGACAUGAGUAGCGAUAAAGGGAGUGAGAGACUCCCUCGCCGAAAGUCCAAGGGUUCCUGCGCAAUGCUAAUCAGCGCAGGGUAAGCCGGCCCCUAAGGCGAGGCCGAAAGGCGUAGUCGAUGGGAAUCAGGUUAAUAUUCCUGAGCCAGCGGAUAGUGACGGAUACUGGAAAUUGUCUACCCUUAUUGGAUUGGGUGGGCAGUGAAGGUGUUCCUGGAAAUAGCUUCCGCAUUGAGACCGUACCCCAAACCGACACAGGUGGACUGGUAGAGCAUACCAAGGCGCUUGAGAGAACUCUGUUGAAGGAACUCGGCAAAUUACUCCCGUAAGUUCGCGAGAAGGGAGCCUGGCGCUGCGCAAGCAGUGUCCAGGGGCACAGACCAGGGGGUGGCGACUGUUUACUAAAAACACAGGGCUCUGCGAAGUCGCAAGACGACGUAUAGGGUCUGACGCCUGCCCGGUGCCGGAA